This 850-nucleotide small RNA is filed under the name 'Pelargonium capitatum' phytoplasma. RNAcentral's name for it is "bacterial SSU rRNA". The stretch from base 1 to 751 matches the Rfam family "Bacterial small subunit ribosomal RNA", at positions 779 to 1533 of the family's 1533-position model. Lineage: Bacteria; Bacillati; Mycoplasmatota; Mollicutes; Acholeplasmatales; Acholeplasmataceae. The record is from RNAcentral.
UAGAUACCCUGGUAGUCCACGCCGUAAACGAUGAGUACUAAGUGUCGGGUUAAACCGGUACUGAAGUUAACACAUUAAGUACUCCGCCUGAGUAGUACGUACGCAAGUAUGAAACUUAAAGGAAUUGACGGGACUCCGCACAAGCGGUGGAUCAUGUUGUUUAAUUCGAAGAUACCCGAAAAACCUUACCAGGUCUUGACAUGUUUUUGCAAAAUGAUAGUAAUAUCGUGGAGGUUACCAGAAACACAGGUGGUGCAUGGUUGUCGUCAGCUCGUGUCGUGAGAUGUUAGGUUAAGUCCUAAAACGAGCGAAACCCUUAUCGUUAGUUGCCAGCACGUUAUGGUGGGGACUUUAACGAGACUGCCAAUGAUAAAUUGGAGGAAGGUGAGGAUCACGUCAAAUCAGCAUGCCCCUUAUGACCUGGGCUACAAACGUGAUACAAUGGCUGUUACAAAGGGUAGCUGAAACGCAAGUUCUUGGCCAAUCCCCAAAAACAGUCCCAGUCCGGAUUGAAGUCUGCAACUYGACUUCAUGAAGUYGGAAUCSSUAGUAAUCGCGAAUCAGCAUGUCGCGGUGAAUACGUUCUYGGGGUUUGUACACACCKCCCGUCAAACCACGAAAGUUGGCAAUACCCCAAAACGGUAGCCUAACUCGUUUAUUCGAGAGGGCGCCGUCUAAGGUAGGGUCGAUGAUUGGGGUUAAGUCGUAACAAGGUAUCCCUACCGGAAGGUGGGGAUGGAUCACCUCCUUUCUAAGGAAACCAAUAAAAUCAAUCAUCUUCAGUUUUGAAAGACUUAGGCAACUAAGUUUUUCUUCGUGACUUCACGAAGGGCCUAUAGCUCAGCUGGUA